UUAGCCUACGGGACGCAGCAGUAGGGAAUAUUGCUCAAUGGGGGAAACCCUGAAGCAGCAACGCCGCGUGGAGGAUGAAGGUUUUCGGAUUGUAAACUCCUUUUGUUAGAGAAGAUAAUGACGGUAUCUAACGAAUAAGCACCGGCUAACUACGUGCCAGCAGCCGCGGUAAUACGUAGGGAGCAAGCGUUAUCCGGAUUUAUUGGGUGUAAAGGGUGCGUAGACGGGAAGGCAAGUUAGUUGUGAAAUCCCUCGGCUUAACUGAGGAACUGCAACUAAAACUAUCUUUCUUGAGUGCUGGAGAG
RNAcentral lists this ribosomal RNA (305 nucleotides) under uncultured bacterium. RNAcentral describes it as "bacterial SSU rRNA". It matches the Rfam family "Bacterial small subunit ribosomal RNA", at positions 333 to 656 of the family's 1533-position model. The record is from RNAcentral.